UUAAGAUUUUAAAGACUGAAGAAGAAAGAUCGGUAGCUGAGGAUGUUGAAAAUCGAUUCUCAAUUUUCAGACUACAGAAUCGAUCCCUGAAUUAUCACCAAAUUACGAUCUUACAAAUCGAUUUUCACUACGCCAUGCCGUUAGAAGUGAAACUACGUAUCGCCCUGAACGAGAACGCAAGGGGGGGGGGGGGAAAUAGAAUGCAUAAGAAUCCAUAAGAAAACCAAAAGAUGAAGUAUGUGAUGUCCUUCCUCCAGAAUAUCAAGCAAGAGAUCAUCAUCCGCGGUUAUUCAGUUUAUCGAUAGUGAAGAAAGCCGCAAACAACUUAACCAAGAAACAAAACAUGCAUGAGAGAGAAGGCACAGACUUUGUCAUAAAACAAUUUGAUGGAACGCAAAAAGCCACAGAUUGGAGUAUGAAAUAUUCAUAUUUCACAUAAGCAUCCCUUCCAUACUCUAAUAUGAGUAUGAAACCGAAUACGAAAAAUACAAAAUCCAAACUGACGAAAAAAGGAUCAAGAAUUUGAAGAAAUAUUUGGGAAAAAUAGCAUCAGAAUGGUACCAAGCAAAUCUGCUGAAGGAUGAAGAAUACAACUGGGAAAAUUGGAAGGUGGCAGUUCAAAAAGCUUGUGGCAAUAAAGGUUGGUCUGCAGUACGAUACACUUAUAACUUUAAAUACAUUUCAGGUUCAUUCACUGAA
Long non-coding RNA from Bombus terrestris (buff-tailed bumblebee), 699 nucleotides. RefSeq lists it as uncharacterized. The transcript has 3 exons. NCBI's taxonomy places the organism in Eukaryota, Metazoa, Arthropoda, Insecta, Hymenoptera, Apidae. The record is from RefSeq and is a predicted model, not a curated record.